RNAcentral lists this transfer RNA (72 nucleotides) under Ovis aries (sheep). It matches the Rfam family "tRNA". From Rfam's summary of the family: Transfer RNA (tRNA) molecules are approximately 80 nucleotides in length. Their secondary structure includes four short double-helical elements and three loops (D, anti-codon, and T loops). The record is from Rfam by way of RNAcentral. Lineage: Eukaryota; Metazoa; Chordata; Mammalia; Artiodactyla; Bovidae.
UCCCUGGUGGCAUAGAGGGCAAAGCAAUUGCCUGCAAUGCAGGAGACCCAGGUUCGAUCCCUGGGUUGGGAA